UUUCCUACGGGAGGCAGCAGUGAGGAAUAUUGGUCAAUGGGCGCAAGCCUGAACCAGCCAAGUCGCGUGAGGGAAGACGGCCCUACGGGCUGUAAACCUCUUUUGCCGGGGAGCAAGCCUGAGCACGUGUGCCCAGGCGGAGAGUACCCGGAGAAAAAGCAUCGGCUAACUCCGUGCCAGCAGCCGCGGUAAUACGGAGGAUGCGAGCGUUAUCCGGAUUUAUUGGGUUUAAAGGGUGCGCAGGCGGGCUGUUAAGCCGGCGGUAAAAACUAAGGGUUGAA
RNAcentral lists this ribosomal RNA (281 nucleotides) under uncultured bacterium. RNAcentral describes it as "partial 16S ribosomal RNA". It matches the Rfam family "Bacterial small subunit ribosomal RNA", at positions 335 to 612 of the family's 1533-position model. The record is from RNAcentral.